GUGGGGAAUAUUGGGCAAUGGACGCAAGUCUGACCCAGCAACGCCGCGUGAAGGAAGAAGGCUUUCGGGUUGUAAACUUCUUUUGUCAGGGAAGAGAAGAAGACGGUACCUGACGAAUAAGCCACGGCUAACUACGUGCCAGCAGCCGCGGUAAUACGUAGGUGGCAAGCGUUGUCCGGAUUUACUGGGUGUAAAGGGCGUGCAGCCGGGCGCUUAAGUCAGAUGUGAAAUCCGCGGGCUUAACCCGCGAACUGCAUUUGAAACUGAGCGUCUUGAGUAUCGGAGAGGUCAUCGGAAUUCCUUGUGUAGCGGUGAAAUGCGUAGAUAUAAGGAAGAACACCAGUGGCGAAGGCGGAUGACUGGACGACAACUGACGGUGAGGCGCGAAAGCGUGGGGAGCAAACAGGA
This 408-nucleotide ribosomal RNA is filed under the name uncultured bacterium. RNAcentral describes it as "bacterial SSU rRNA". It matches the Rfam family "Bacterial small subunit ribosomal RNA", at positions 354 to 777 of the family's 1533-position model. The record is from RNAcentral.